GCCCGGGUGGUCUAGUUGGCUAUGAUUCUCGCUUAGGGCCUUAACCCUAAGUACUUAUAUGCGAGAGGUCCCGCGUUCGAAUCGCGGCUCGGGCC
RNAcentral lists this transfer RNA (95 nucleotides) under Trichophyton rubrum. RNAcentral describes it as "tRNA-Pro". RNAcentral also lists the same sequence under 19 other names. The record is from RNAcentral. Lineage: Eukaryota; Fungi; Ascomycota; Eurotiomycetes; Onygenales; Arthrodermataceae.